RNAcentral lists this ribosomal RNA (262 nucleotides) under Vairimorpha apis. RNAcentral describes it as "Nosema apis partial small subunit ribosomal RNA". The stretch from base 1 to 228 matches the Rfam family "Microsporidia small subunit ribosomal RNA", at positions 104 to 334 of the family's 1311-position model. The record is from RNAcentral. Lineage: Eukaryota; Fungi; Microsporidia; Nosematidae.
AAUUUGAUGUACAUUAUACAUAACUACGUUAAAGUGUAGCUAACAUAUGUACAGUAAGAGUGAGACCUAUCAGCUAGUUGUUAAGGUAAUGGCUUAACAAGGCAAUAACGGGUAACGGUAUUACUUUGUAAUAUUCCGGAGAAGGAGCCUGAGAGACGGCUACUAAGUCUAAGGAUUGCAGCAGGGGCGAAACUUGACCUAUGGAUAUUAUCUGAGGCAGUUAUGGGAAGUAACAUAGUUGUUUCACAUUUUAAACGCCCCC